UGGUAGGUGUUUCUAAUAAAGUGGCCAGUGAGUGUAAGUACAAUGUGGUGGGUGUUUCUAAUAAAGUGGCCAGUGAGUGUAAGUACAAUGUGGUGGGUGUUUCUAAUAAAGUGGCCAGUGAGUGUAAGUACAGUGUGGUAGGUGUUUCUAAUAAAGUGGCCAGUGAGUGUAAGUACAAUGUGGUGGGUGUUUCUAAUAAAGUGGCCAGUGAGUGUAAGUACAGUGUGGUAGGUGUUUCUAAUAAAGUGGCCAGUGAGUGUAAGAACAAUGUGGUAGGUGUUUCUAAUAAAGUGGCCAAUAAGUAAAAAUU
This is a long non-coding RNA of Astyanax mexicanus (Mexican tetra), 310 nucleotides long. RefSeq lists it as uncharacterized. The transcript has 3 exons. Lineage: Eukaryota; Metazoa; Chordata; Actinopteri; Characiformes; Acestrorhamphidae. The record is from RefSeq and is a predicted model, not a curated record.